CUUACAGGCAGCCUCUGAGAGUCACUUGAUCAAGCUGCCUGAUUGUGACAGUGAGUUUCCUUCACUAAGUGAAUAGUUCCACCCAGGGCUGGCCACACACUCAUUCCUCUGGGACUCGGCCAGAGAAAGAAACACAAAGCACAUUCUCAGAGAGGAAAUAUUUACAAACCAAAGGGGACGGAAAUCUUCUACACAAACCUCCAGUGGAACUGCAGAGAGAGGGAGAGGAGCCUUCCAGCCCCAAGGACUUGCUAGUCUGUGCUUGUUACUUUCUUCCCUAUCAGCUCUUGCUGGGUUUGCGUGGACUUGAAUUGUGAAAGGAAGCAAAGUUCCCAGUUUGGGAUGGCUGAAUGUCAGUGUGUUCUCUGGUGCAUCUUCUGGGUCUUGGUCCUGAUCUUCAUUGGCUGGCCAGUCAGCAUUUUCCUUGGAGGCCUGUAUGGGUUUCUGUCUCCUCUUACCACCUGCAUAGGAUUGGACAAGUUCACAGACCUUCUGCUCCAAGGAGUCAACAUUGGCAGGACCUGUGCUGAAAAUGCCCGUACCGGCAAAUCAUUGUGCUAGAGGAAGGAGAUGGACUCUCUGCAACUAAAUCAGAAGCUUCAUCUCUAGCCAAAAUCACAUUCCAGCCUCUGCUUGCUUCUGCAGGGCACAGGUCUUCCCAGCUGGAAAGCCACAAGGUUAUUCCCACACAAUGAAGGUGCUGUAUCUCCCAAGCUUCUUGUUUAGAAGGAACAAAGCUCUCACUGGAAGAUUUUUUUCAGACAGUUACUAAUUGGCUUGUUAUAUGUCAUGUGUCAGAUCUGGCACAUUUUAUAUCAUGACACGUAUUAUAACUAGUUUGUACUCAUAUAUGGAAUAAUAAAUCAGAUGUUUCAUUACCA
This is a long non-coding RNA of Xenopus tropicalis (tropical clawed frog), 881 nucleotides long. RefSeq lists it as uncharacterized. NCBI's taxonomy places the organism in Eukaryota, Metazoa, Chordata, Amphibia, Anura, Pipidae. The transcript is spliced from 2 exons. The record is from RefSeq and is a predicted model, not a curated record.